UCAGCUUCAAUGUUGUAUAUCUCUCAUACAGAAUGGGUACCCGUUUUUUGGUCGAUGCGCCACAGCCGGCGCUUGUGGUACCAAUCAAGUGUUCAAGAUUAUAUGUACGAGCAAUGCAACAUUUGAUAUUUUUUAUACAUGGCUUUCACAAUAAAAAAAAUCAUAAGAAUAUUACUUAGUACAAGACAUUCCCACCAAAUGUUGUUCGCAUGGACAACUGAGAUGUCCACAUGGACAAUUUACACAAGGCGUACACAUGGACAACUUACACGAGGCAUACACAUGAAUAGCUUCUUGUCUUUGACUCCAUGCCAAGUCUUGUCCACAUUAUGGAGUUGUCCGUCCAAGAACAAAAAUAAUAAUAAAAUAACAGAUAAUUCAAUGAAGACACAUCGUUCAAACCAACAUUUCCAACAAAACAAAUACAUCAUAUAGCAAUAUAACAUAAAAACAGAACCUUAUGUUUCUCUAGGAUCCAUACAGAACUGAAUUAGCUUUGUAAGUCAUUUCAAAAUACUAGAUUCAAAAAUCAUAUAUACUUUGUGAAUCAUCCAAAGCUAAGUUUCAAAGGUAAUACAUAAUAAGCUGAGCUGAUAUAAAUAAAUAAAAAACGAAUCUAAAGGAAGCAAGCUGCAUCUUUUGGAAUCAGAGAUCAACUUUAUGAUUGAAAUUCAGUAUUGAGCAGGAGAAAUCAAAUAUAUUAAAUGUAAUCUUACCUCGCCAAACUGCCGUCAACUUAGUUCCAAUCUCUCCGGAUUUACAUCAUCUAGCUUCAUCUGCGGCUGAGACGGAGAUUGAGCAGGAGGUGGAGAUACAUCGGGUUUCUUAGCCACUUUCCCUUUGCCUUCAUUUGUACUUAUGGCUACAGCUCGUUUUUAUGAUAUUUCUCUGGUGGUUAUUCUUGUGGAGGAUGAAGGUAGAGGUGGAGAAGAAUAAGAUAGACCAACGAAUCAAGACUUUGAUUCAGAAAAACCCACCAUCAGAACAUGAGAGAGGUGUAUGCACGCUUAGAUUUUUUGUUUCUUUGUUUCAAAUCAGUAUAAUUUGAUCCAAAACCACUUUAUCGACAUAGAAAAAGA
Molecule: long non-coding RNA, 1079 nt
Filed under: Brassica napus (rape)
Lineage: Eukaryota; Viridiplantae; Streptophyta; Magnoliopsida; Brassicales; Brassicaceae
Description: long non-coding RNA (BNAP_LNC017541)
Source: RNAcentral